Long non-coding RNA from Oncorhynchus tshawytscha (Chinook salmon), 788 nucleotides. Lineage: Eukaryota; Metazoa; Chordata; Actinopteri; Salmoniformes; Salmonidae. The record is from Ensembl.
UGAGUGUGUGUCACCAGUGUGUGUGUGUCACCAGUGUGUGUGUGUGUUUGUGUGUCUCCAGUGUGUGUGUGUGUGUGUGUGUGUGUCUCCAGUGUGUGUGUGUGUGUGUGUGUGUUUCCUGUGUGUGUGUGUGUGUGUCACCAGUGUGUGUGUCACCAGUUUGUGUGUGUGUGUGUGUGUCUCCUGUGUGUGUGUGUCUCCUGUGUGUGUGUGUGUGUGUCACCAGUGUGUGUGUGUGUGUCAGUGUGUGUGUGUCUCCAGUGUGUGUGAGUGUGUGUUUGUGUCCAGUGUGUUUGUGUCCCCAGUGUGUGUGUGUGAGUGUGUGUGUCCAGUGUGUGUGUGUCCAGUGUGUGUGUGUCCAGUGUGUCCUGUGUGUGUGUGUGUUGUGUGUGUGUGUCUCCAGUGUGUGUGAGUGAGUGUCCAUUGUGUGUGUGUCUCCAGUGUGUGUGAGUGUGUGUUUGUGUCCAGUGUGUUUGUGUCCCCAGUGUGUGUGUGUGUGUGUGUGUGUGUGUCUCCAGUGUGUGUGUGUGUGUGUGUUAGUGUCUCCAGUGUGUGUGUGUGUCACCAGUGUGUGUGUGUGUGUGUGUUGUCUGUGUGUGUCUCCAGUGUCUGUGUGUGUGUGUGUUAGUGUCUGUGUGUGUGUGUCACCAGUGUGUGUGUGUCACCAGUGUGUGUGUGUGUCACCAGUGUGUGUGUGUGUGUCACCAGUGUGUGUGUGUGUGUGUUAGUGUCUCCAGUGUGUGUGUGUGUCACCAGUGUGUGUGUGUGUGUCUCCAGUGUGUGUGUGU